CAGGUCACUCCUACGGGAGGCAGCAGCAAGGAAUUUUCCCCAAUGGGCGCAAGCCUGAUCCAGCCAUGCCGCGUGAGUGAAGAAGGCCUUCGGGUUGUAAAGCUCUUUCGGACGGAAAGAAAUCGCGCAGGUAAAUAAUCUGCGUGGAUGACGGUACCGUAAGAAGAAGCACCGGCUAACUACGUGCCAGCAGCCGCGGUAAUACGUAGGGUGCGAGCGUUAAUCGGAAUUACUGGGCGUAAAGCGCGUGUAGGCGGCAGCGCAAGUCGGGCGUGAAAUCCCACGGCUCAACCGUGGAAGUGCACUCGAAACUGCGCAGCUAGAGUCCUGGAGAGGAAGGUGGAAUGCUUGGUGUAGAGGUGAAAUUCGUAGAUAUCAAGCGGAACACCGGUGGCGAAGGCGGCCUUCUGGACAGUGACUGACGCUGAGACGCGAAAGCGUGGGGAGCAAACAGGAUUAGAUACCCUGGUAGUCCACGCCGUAAACGAUGAGUGCUAGGUGUCACGGGCUUUGACCCUCGUGGUGCCGAAGCUAACGCGUUAAGUGCCCCGCCUGGGGACUACGGCCGCAAGGUUAAAACUCAAAGGAAUUG
Molecule: ribosomal RNA, 592 nt
Filed under: uncultured delta proteobacterium
Lineage: Bacteria; Deltaproteobacteria
Description: bacterial SSU rRNA
Rfam family: Bacterial small subunit ribosomal RNA
Source: RNAcentral